CCUACGGGUGGCUGCAGUGGGGAAUUUUGGACAAUGGGGGCAACCCUGAUCCAGCCAUUCCGCGUGAGUGAAGAAGGCCUUCGGGUUGUAAAGCUCUUUUGUCCGGAGCGAAACGGGCGGCCCUAAUACGGUCGUCUACUGACGGUACCGGAAGAAUAAGCACCGGCUAACUACGUUCCAGCAGCCGCGGUAAUACGUAGGGUGAUUACGUUGAUCGGAAUUUCUGGGGGUGAUGUUUGAGCAGGCGGUUGAAAUCCCCGGGCUCACCCUGGGAAUGGCAUUUGGGACUGCAAGGCUGGAGUGUGGCAGAGGGGACUAGAAUUCCUGGUGUAGCAGUGAAAUGCGUAGAUAUCAGGAGGAAUACCGAUGGCGAAGGCAGGUCCCUGGGUUAACACUGACGCUCAUGCACGAAAGCGUGGGGAGCAAACAGGAUUAGAUACCCCAGUAGUC
RNAcentral lists this ribosomal RNA (450 nucleotides) under uncultured bacterium. RNAcentral's name for it is "partial 16S ribosomal RNA". It matches the Rfam family "Bacterial small subunit ribosomal RNA", at positions 338 to 795 of the family's 1533-position model. The record is from RNAcentral.